UACGUAGGGGGCGAGCGUUGUCCGGAAUUAUUGGGCGUAAAGAGCGUGUAGGCGGUUCGGUAAGUCUGCCGUGAAAACCUGGGGCUCAACCCCGGGCGUGCGGUGGAUACUGCCGGGCUAGAGGGUGGUAGAGGCGAGUGGAAUUCCCGGUGUAGCGGUGAAAUGCGCAGAUAUCAGGAGGAACACCAAUAGCGAAGGCAGCUCGCUGGGACGUUACUGACACUGAGGCGCGAAAGCGUGGGGAGCGAACAGG
This 253-nucleotide ribosomal RNA is filed under the name uncultured bacterium. RNAcentral describes it as "partial 16S ribosomal RNA". It matches the Rfam family "Bacterial small subunit ribosomal RNA", at positions 524 to 776 of the family's 1533-position model. The record is from RNAcentral.